This 301-nucleotide ribosomal RNA is filed under the name uncultured bacterium. RNAcentral's name for it is "partial 16S ribosomal RNA". It matches the Rfam family "Bacterial small subunit ribosomal RNA", at positions 509 to 807 of the family's 1533-position model. The record is from RNAcentral.
CAGUCGCCGCGGUAAUACGUAGGGUGCGAGCGUUAAUCGGAAUUACUGGGCGUAAAGCGUGCGCAGGCGGUUAUGUAAGACAGGUGUGAAAUCCCCGGGCUUAACCUGGGAACUGCGCUUGUGACUGCACAGCUAGAGUAUGGCAGAGGGGGGUGGAAUUCCACGUGUAGCAGUGAAAUGCGUAGAGAUGUGGAGGAACACCGAUGGCGAAGGCAGCCCCCUGGGCCAAUACUGACGCUCAUGCACGAAAGCGUGGGGAGCAAACAGGAUUAGAUACCCCCGUAGUCCCUGUCUCUUAUAC